RNAcentral lists this unclassified non-coding RNA (383 nucleotides) under uncultured fungus. RNAcentral describes it as "sequence contains ITS1". The stretch from base 1 to 107 matches the Rfam family "5.8S ribosomal RNA", at positions 50 to 154 of the family's 154-position model. The record is from RNAcentral. Lineage: Eukaryota; Fungi.
GAAAUGCGAUAAGUAAUGUGAAUUGCAGAAUCCCGCGAACCAUCGAGUCUUUGAACGCAAGUUGCGCCCGAAGCCAUUAGGUUGAGGGCACGUCUGCCUGGGCGUCUCACGUUGCGUCGCCCGCGCCCCCUCCCUCCCCGAAGGGGGGAGGAAGGGCUGCGGGCGGAUGUUGGCUCCCCGCGCCCCCCCUUCCGCGCGCGAUCGGCCCAAAAGCGAGUCCCCCGCGAUGGACGACGCGUCGCGACGAGUGGUGGUUGGCAAACCGUUGCGUCGCCUAGCGCGCGUCCGGGCCGUCUCGGGAGGCCUGUCGUGACCAUAUCGCGCCGUCGCCAAGGCACUCCGAUCGCGACCCCAGGUCAGGCGGGAUUACCCGCUGAGUUUAA